Molecule: transfer RNA, 76 nt
Filed under: Oscillospiraceae bacterium
Lineage: Bacteria; Bacillati; Bacillota; Clostridia; Eubacteriales; Oscillospiraceae
Description: tRNA-Val
Rfam family: tRNA
About the family: Transfer RNA (tRNA) molecules are approximately 80 nucleotides in length. Their secondary structure includes four short double-helical elements and three loops (D, anti-codon, and T loops). Further hydrogen bonds mediate the characteristic L-shaped molecular structure. tRNAs have two regions of fundamental functional importance: the anti-codon, which is responsible for specific mRNA codon recognition, and the 3' end, to which the tRNAs corresponding amino acid is attached (by aminoacyl-tRNA synthetases). tRNAs cope with the degeneracy of the genetic code in two manners: having more than one tRNA (with a specific anti-codon) for a particular amino acid; and 'wobble' base-pairing, i.e. permitting non-standard base-pairing at the 3rd anti-codon position.
Source: RNAcentral
GGAGGCAUGGCUCAGCUGGUAGAGCACCUGCUCCACACGCAGGGGGUCAGGGGUUCGAGUCCCUUUGCCUCCACCA